GCUGGGCAAGGUUGUAUACCUGUAAUCCCUGUUACUGGGGGAAGUGGAGACUGGUGGAUUGCUUGAGUUUGGGAGUUCUGAGCUGCAAGAGGGCUAAAGCUGAUUAGGUGUCCACACUAAGUCCAACACCAAUGUGGUAAGCCCUUAGGAGCCCCCUAAGGAGAGGUGAAUUGAUCCAGGGCAGAAAAAGAGAGGUUAAAGCUUCUGUGCCAAUCAGUUUUGGGACUGUGCAUCUGAGUGGCUGCAGCACUUUCAGCCCAGGUAAGAUAGACCUAGUCUCAA
Monodelphis domestica (gray short-tailed opossum) is the source of this 282-nucleotide unclassified non-coding RNA. It matches the Rfam family "Metazoan signal recognition particle RNA". From Rfam's summary of the family: The signal recognition particle (SRP) is a universally conserved ribonucleoprotein. It is involved in the co-translational targeting of proteins to membranes. NCBI's taxonomy places the organism in Eukaryota, Metazoa, Chordata, Mammalia, Didelphimorphia, Didelphidae. The record is from Ensembl.